CCCACCAAUUCCGGACACACCUGGAAUUCUUUGGAAGGCUGAAGCAAGAGGAUCAUUUGAGGCCAGGAGUUUGAGAAAUUCUAUGUGAUAUAAAGCAGAUGCAUAAAAUUUGCCCACAUCUGCAACUUACUUAUAAAAUGUUUUUUUCAAGAGACUGGAACUUCUAGUGCAUAAAUACAGUUUGGGUUUAAAAACCCAGAAUCCUGAAAAAAAUGGCUCUACUUAAAAAACGACUGUUUUUGGUAGUUGAACAGUAAUUUAAAGGGCUCUUCAGUGACGUUAGAAAUCAUUAAAUCCAAUUCUUUCCUUUUAAAUGUAAGGAAGCUGUUGAAGAAAAGUCCCAUGCUGUGUUUUAUGUUUUGAAGCCGAGGCCAAAUGUGGAGAUGGCAUAACCAGAAGAGGGAACGAACUGGCCUGGAUGUGACUCAUGCUUGGAAGGGAGCUGUCUGGAAGGACCACAGUACCUGCAGCCAACUUUGUGAGUCUGAAACUCAGAGGAGAGGUUCGAAUUGGAGAAACGAAUUUGGGAGUUGCCGACACAUAGAUUCUUAACGCCAUAGG
RNAcentral lists this long non-coding RNA (561 nucleotides) under Homo sapiens (human). RNAcentral describes it as "HSALNT0301168". Lineage: Eukaryota; Metazoa; Chordata; Mammalia; Primates; Hominidae. The record is from RNAcentral.